RNAcentral lists this ribosomal RNA (534 nucleotides) under Staphylococcus kloosii. RNAcentral describes it as "bacterial SSU rRNA". It matches the Rfam family "Bacterial small subunit ribosomal RNA", at positions 1007 to 1533 of the family's 1533-position model. The record is from RNAcentral. Lineage: Bacteria; Bacillati; Bacillota; Bacilli; Caryophanales; Staphylococcaceae.
AGAGCUUUCCCCUUCGGGGGACAAAGUGACAGGUGGUGCAUGGUUGUCGUCAGCUCGUGUCGUGAGAUGUUGGGUUAAGUCCCGCAACGAGCGCAACCCUUAAGCUUAGUUGCCAUCAUUAAGUUGGGCACUCUAAGUUGACUGCCGGUGACAAACCGGAGGAAGGUGGGGAUGACGUCAAAUCAUCAUGCCCCUUAUGAUUUGGGCUACACACGUGCUACAAUGGACAAUACAAAGGGCAGCUAAACCGCGAGGUCAUGCAAAUCCCAUAAAGUUGUUCUCAGUUCGGAUUGUAGUCUGCAACUCGACUACAUGAAGCUGGAAUCGCUAGUAAUCGUAGAUCAGCAUGCUACGGUGAAUACGUUCCCGGGUCUUGUACACACCGCCCGUCACACCACGAGAGUUUGUAACACCCGAAGCCGGUGGAGUAACCAUUAUGGAGCUAGCCGUCGAAGGUGGGACAAAUGAUUGGGGUGAAGUCGUAACAAGGUAGCCGUAUCGGAAGGUGCGGCUGGAUCACCUCCUUUCUAAGGA